CCCAACGAGUCGCACACUAAGCAUAGCAAUUAUAUCAAAUGAUCAAUCAAAUUUUUAUUUAACCUUAUGAGCAGUUCUAAAUUCUAUAAGGUUAAAUAAAAAUUUGAUUGAUCAUUUGAUAUAAUUGCUAUGCUUAGUGUGCGACUCGUUGGGUUUUUUAGGCUUAGGAUUCAAAAAAAAUGGGCGGACCACAGUAUAAGCUAAUAACUAUAGCACUAAUAACCAACUCAUCGCUUCGGAUUAUCUGGAUCCAAUACCCGGCCGUCGGGGCAAGAGCCAGGCCCCGAUGAGUAGGAGGGCGCGGCGGUCGCCGUAAAACCCGGGGCGGGAGCCCGGGCGGAGCGGCCGUCGGUGCAGAUCUUGGUGGUAGUAGCAAAUAUUCAAAUGAGAACUUUGAAGGCC
RNAcentral lists this non-coding RNA (402 nucleotides) under Gossypium arboreum. RNAcentral describes it as "Eukaryotic large subunit ribosomal RNA". It matches the Rfam family "Eukaryotic large subunit ribosomal RNA", at positions 971 to 1492 of the family's 3401-position model. Lineage: Eukaryota; Viridiplantae; Streptophyta; Magnoliopsida; Malvales; Malvaceae. The record is from Rfam by way of RNAcentral.